UUGCUCUUCUUGGAUGAGUUGCGAACUGGUGAGUACGCGUAGGUAACCUGCCUUGUAGCGGGGGAUAACUAUUGGAAACGAUAGCUAAUACCGCAUAACAAUGGAUGACCCAUGUCAUUUAUUUGAAAGGGGCAAAUGCUCCACUACAAGAUGGACCUGCGUUGUAUUAGCUAGUAGGUGAGGUAACGGCUCACCUAGGCGACGAUACAUAGCCGACCUGAGAGGGUGAUCGGCCACACUGGGACUGAGACACGGCCCAGACUCCUACGGGAGGCAGCAGUAGGGAAUCUUCGGCAAUGGGGGCAACCCUGACCGAGCAACGCCGCGUGAGUGAAGAAGGUUUUCGGAUCGUAAAGCUCUGUUGUAAGUCAAGAACGAGUGUGAGAGUGGAAAGUUCACACUGUGACGGUAGCUUACCAGAAAGGGACGGCUAACUACGUGCCAGCAGCCGCGGUAAUACGUAGGUCCCGAGCGUUAUCCGGAUUUAUUGGGCGUAAAGCGAGCGCAGGCGGUUUGAUAAGUCUGAAGUUAAAGGCUGUGGCUCAACCAUAGUUCGCUUUGGAAACUGUCAAACUUGAGUGCAGAAGGGGAGAGUGGAAUUCCAUGUGUAGCGGUGAAAUGCGUAGAUAUAUGGAGGAACACCGGUGGCGAAAGCGGCUCUCU
Molecule: ribosomal RNA, 663 nt
Filed under: uncultured Bacilli bacterium
Lineage: Bacteria; Bacillati; Bacillota; Bacilli
Description: bacterial SSU rRNA
Rfam family: Bacterial small subunit ribosomal RNA
Source: RNAcentral